GAAGGGGGCUAGCGUUGUUCGGAAUUACUGGGCGUAAAGCGCACGUAGGCAGAUAUUUAAGUCAGGGGUGAAAUCCCAGAGCUCAACUCUGGAACUGCCUUUGAUACUGGGUAUCUUGAGUAUGGAAGAGGUAAGUGGAAUUGCGAGUGUAGAGGUGAAAUUCGUAAAUAUUAGGAGGAACACCAGUGGCGAAGGCGUCUAUCUGGUUCAAAUCUGACGCUGAGGCGCGAAGGCGUGGGGAGCAAACAGGAUUAGAUACCCUGGUAGUCCACGCUGUAAACGAUGAAUGUUAAAUAUGGGGAGUUUACUUUCUGUAUUACAGCUAACGCGUUAAACAUUCCGCCUGGGGACUACGGUCGCAAGAUUAAAACUCACAGGAAUUGACGGGGACCCGCACAAGCGGUGGAGCAUGUGGUUUAAUUCGAUGCAACGCGAAAAACCUUACCACUCCUUGACAUGGAAAUUAUACCUAUUCGAAGGGAUAGGGUCGGUUCGGCCGGGUUUCACACAGGUGU
This 515-nucleotide ribosomal RNA is filed under the name bacterium symbiont of Megymenum gracilicorne. RNAcentral describes it as "bacterial SSU rRNA". It matches the Rfam family "Bacterial small subunit ribosomal RNA", at positions 527 to 1041 of the family's 1533-position model. The record is from RNAcentral.